Molecule: unclassified non-coding RNA, 854 nt
Filed under: Hevea brasiliensis (rubber tree)
Lineage: Eukaryota; Viridiplantae; Streptophyta; Magnoliopsida; Malpighiales; Euphorbiaceae
Source: RNAcentral
AUGAUCCAUCAUCUUUAUUAACAUGUUUGGUAUUGAAAUAUCGACCAGAACAAAGAAAAAGGAAUUGUACAGUCUUAUAUAAGCCUCUCUAGCUAUUUCUAGUUAACUUCAUUAUCUUAACUUGUGCUUGUGCUUAGUUAAUGUGGGUCUGGAGUAAUUUCUCGCUCAAGUAUCGGCAGCCAUGAAUGCAGUUUCAAUAUCUGUCAUCCCUCUCAUACAUAUCGAAUUAGCCCUAACACCUGAGGGCUGAACUUUAUUCCUCUCUGCCAUCAUUUCGAAAAAAGCAUGAGGUGCCCAACCUACAAUAUCAAUGGAAACACGGCAAAAUGUCAAAAACAGUAUCUAAAGAAAACCAAUAGCUGUGUUGCUCAGACCUAUAUAUGAUACUGGAAAAUCAAAACUGUUGUGUCCAAGAAGAUAAUAGCAUCUGGGUUGGCAUUGGCAUACCUUCAAUCUCAUUUGGGUAUGGGAAAAAUUGUAAAUAACAAAAUGCAGCUACUGUUGUUCCUGAAUUAAAAGAAAAGAGAUUUUCCAAAACAUAAAAUUAGCGAUUCUUCUGAUAAGUGUGCUUUCUGUCAUUGCACCAGAAUUUAAAAGUCUUAUCGUAUGUUUAAAAAAACUAUAAUCAUUUCAGAAGUAGAAAACCUAUAAGAGCUCCGGCAAAGACAUCAGUCCAAUGAUGCCAGUAGUCGUCCACACGAGAAAUACCCACAAGGACAGCAAUUAGUACUGGAAUAAGUAUAAUACAGAGUUUAGCUACGUGCCCCCUGCGAUCAAACACCCUGAGUUUCCCUGACAUGUACCAGGCAAGGUAAGUGAGACCUGCAAAGGACCCUGCAUUGCAUUCUGGAAAU